UCUGGACGAAAUCUAAAGGGAACAAAACACAGAUCAGUGACAAUGCUGUGCAUGAUGAUGAAGAUGGAGAUGAAGCUACGGUGAACUAUGAAAACGUUGGAGAACCUUCUGCUUCUAUCAGACUCCACUGAUCAACAACUUUCACUCCAACAUCAACUCAGCAGAGUAAAUAACAUUUCAUCAGAUUUUA
Long non-coding RNA from Scomber scombrus (Atlantic mackerel), 190 nucleotides. RefSeq lists it as uncharacterized. The transcript has 3 exons. The record is from RefSeq and is a predicted model, not a curated record. Lineage: Eukaryota; Metazoa; Chordata; Actinopteri; Scombriformes; Scombridae.